GCGCGCGUAGCUCAACUGGAUAGAGCAUCGGUCUUCGGAACCGAGGGUUGCGGGUUCGAGUCCUGCCGCGCGUG
This 74-nucleotide transfer RNA is filed under the name Planctomycetota bacterium. Its description in RNAcentral is "tRNA-Arg". It matches the Rfam family "tRNA". Rfam says of the family: Transfer RNA (tRNA) molecules are approximately 80 nucleotides in length. Their secondary structure includes four short double-helical elements and three loops (D, anti-codon, and T loops). RNAcentral also lists the same sequence under 1 other name. The record is from RNAcentral. Lineage: Bacteria; Pseudomonadati; Planctomycetota.